UACGUACGAGGCGAGCGUUAUCCGGAAUCACUGGGCGUAAAGGGUGCGUAGGCGGGGCUUUAAGUCAGGGGUGAAAUCCUGGAGCUCAACUCCAGAACUGCCUUUGAUACUGAAGAUCUUGAGUUCGGGAGAGGUGAGUGGAACUGCGAGUGUAGAGGUGAAAUUCGUAGAUAUUCGCAAGAACACCAGUGGCGAAGGCGGCUCACUGGCCCGAUACUGACGCUGAGGCACGAAAGCGUGGGGAGCAAACAGG
Molecule: ribosomal RNA, 253 nt
Filed under: uncultured bacterium
Lineage: Bacteria
Description: partial 16S ribosomal RNA
Rfam family: Bacterial small subunit ribosomal RNA
Source: RNAcentral